GACGAACGCUGGCGGCGUGCUUAACACAUGCAAGUCGAGCGAGAAAGCGGCUUCGGCCGUGAGUACAGCGGCGAACGGGUGAGUAACACGUGGGCAACCUGCCCCAGAGAUUGGGAUAACGUCCCGAAAGGGACGCUAAUACCGAAUAACGCGUGACCUGCCAAGUGGGUCACGCCAAAUGGUAGCCUCGGCCUCUGCUCUGGGAUGGGCCCGCGCCGGAUUAGCUUGUUGGUAGGGUAACGGCCUACCAAGGCGACGAUCCGUAGCUGGUCUGAGAGGACGAUCAGCCACACUGGGACUGAGACACGGCCCAGACUCCUACGGGAGACAGCAGUGGGGAAUCUUGCGCAAUGGGCGAAAGCCUGACGCAGCAACGCCGCGUGAGCGAAGACGGCCUUCGGGUUGUAAAGCUCUGUCAGGAGGGACGAAGCCACUCGGGUGAAUAGCCCAGAGGGUGACGGUACCUCCAGAGGAAGCCCCGGCUAACUACGUGCCAGCAGCCGCCGUAA
This 509-nucleotide ribosomal RNA is filed under the name uncultured bacterium. Its description in RNAcentral is "partial 16S ribosomal RNA". It matches the Rfam family "Bacterial small subunit ribosomal RNA", at positions 28 to 523 of the family's 1533-position model. The record is from RNAcentral.